RNAcentral lists this ribosomal RNA (598 nucleotides) under Vreelandella aquamarina. Its description in RNAcentral is "bacterial SSU rRNA". It matches the Rfam family "Bacterial small subunit ribosomal RNA", at positions 72 to 666 of the family's 1533-position model. The record is from RNAcentral. Lineage: Bacteria; Pseudomonadati; Pseudomonadota; Gammaproteobacteria; Oceanospirillales; Halomonadaceae.
GAUCCAGCUUGCUGGAUGCUGACGAGCGGCGGACGGGUGAGUAAUGCAUAGGAUCUGCCCGAUAGUGGGGGAUAACCUGGGGAAACCCAGGCUAAUACCGCAUACGUCCUACGGGAGAAAGGGGGCUCCGGCUCCCGCUAUGGGAUGAGCCUAUGUCGGAUUAGCUAGUUGGUGAGGUAACGGCUCACCAAGGCCACGAUCCGUAGCUGGUCUGAGAGGAUGAUCAGCCACAUCGGGACUGAGACACGGCCCGAACUCCUACGGGAGGCAGCAGUGGGGAAUAUUGGACAAUGGGGGCAACCCUGAUCCAGCCAUGCCGCGUUGUGUGAAGAAGGCCCUCGGGUUGUAAAGCACUUUCAGCGAGGAAGAACGCCUAGCGGUUAAUACCCGCUAGGAAAGACAUCACUCGCAGAAGAAGCACCGGCUAACUCCGUGCCAGCAGCCGCGGUAAUACGGAGGGUGCAAGCGUUAAUCGGAAUUACUGGGCGUAAAAGCGCGCGUAGGUGGCUUUGAUAAGCCGGUUGUGAAAAGCCCCCGGGCUUCAAACCCUGGGAAACGGCAUCCGGAAACUGUCAAGCUUAGAGUGCAGGAAGAGGAA